CGCCCACAAGAACCGGGAGCAGCACAUGGGACAACUCGGGGACAUCAAAGACCCCUUGGGGACAAUUCAGUCUCUUAUGAGACGCUGGGGGAGUCUAGGGACAUCUUGGGGGGUCCCUGGGGACGUUCUGGGUCCCCUUGGGGACAUUUUGGGGACCCCUCGAAGAUGUUUCAGAGGAUGUACAGGGCUCUCCCAGGCCGUGGCGCCCACAACAACCAGGAACAGCGCAUGGGACAGCUUGGGGACAUCAAAGACCCCUUGGGAACAAUUCAGGGUCUUAUGGAACACUAGGGGAGCCUGGGGACAUCUUGAGGGGUCCCUGGGGACGUUCUGGGUCCCCUUGGGGACAUUUUGGGGGCUCCUUGGAGACAUUUCGGGGACGUACGGGGCUUUCCUGGGCCUUGGCGCCCGCAACGACCAGGAGCAGCACAUGGGACAACUUGGGGACAUCGAAGACCCUUUGGGGACAAUUCAGGUUCUUAUGGGACACCAGAGGAGUCUAAAGACAUCUCAGGGGGUUCCUGGGGACAUUUUGGGGUCACAGGGAGGCUCCCUGCAUCUCUGCACCCACCCUUGUCCCCAGCACCAUGUCCUGGGGGCACCCAAGGCCACAGAGCUAUGUGAGAGAGAACCGGGGGACAUUUGGGGGUAUCUUGGGGAUCCCAGGGACAUCUCAGGGUGCUGGGUGACAUCUUGGGCCCUCACAGGGACAUUUUGGGGCCUCACGGGGACAUUUUGGGGACGCAAGARAAGAUCCCCGCGCCCCUGCACCCACCACCACGUCCCGAGUGCACCCGGAGCCGCAGAGGAGCACGGGGGGGGAUUUGGGGACGUUUGGGGGUACCUUGGGGACACUUGGGGACCCCAGGGACAUCUUAGGGUCCUGGGGGACAUCUUGGGCCCUCACGGGGACAUUUUGGGGACGCAAGAGAAGAUCCUCGCGUCUCUGCACCCACAACCGCAUCCUGAGCGGACCCAGAGCCGCGGAGAAGCACGGGGGGGGGGAUUUGGGGACACUCGGGGACAUUUUUGGGGGGGACGGGACGGGGACAGGCGGCGAAGGGGCUCACCUGGGGGGGGAACUGCUCGUCGGUGAGGGUGAGGAUGUAGCUGAUGGUGGCGGCCUCGUAGUCGAGGCAGAGGCGGGCGAGGAGCAGCAGCAGGGCGGGCGGCGCCGCCGGGGCCCCCCGCUCGGCCGGGCCCUCGCAGAAGC
RNAcentral lists this long non-coding RNA (1213 nucleotides) under Apteryx rowi (Okarito brown kiwi). Its description in RNAcentral is "lncRNA (ENSARWG00000018234.1)". The record is from RNAcentral. Lineage: Eukaryota; Metazoa; Chordata; Aves; Apterygiformes; Apterygidae.